UUGGUUUCCAUGACGAUGAUUCAAAACGACUGUUAUUGUCUACCGAUUUGACUUUCGAAUAUUAUGUCAAAAUACCCAGGCAACCAAGUGACGUCAACAACGUCGAGGAAACGUCAGUAUUUGGUGGAAUAUAUACACGUGGUUGAACAUUACGUCAUAUCGACGUCUUUUGUAGGUGAUUUUAAAUACGUAAGAUUAAUGACGUUAAAAUACGUUUAAAAGACGUUUUCAUUUCAGCCAGCCUGUCUGACAUCACGAAAUUGGGAGGAGCUUGGAGCUUAAAAGUUACAAAACUAAGGUUAUGUUUUAUGUUUGUAUCGUCGUUGUCGUUUGUUUGUCCUAGAAUUUUAUCCAAUUUUGGAUUCAUUUGGAUUUUGUUGGCUGUUUUGUGUGUAUUUUUUAAAACUUUUGUUUGUCAUUUGUAAAUUUUAUAAAUUUACCACAAUGCAAAGUGACUAUUUAAGGAAAUUAUUAUUGGAAACUCCGCAGAUGUUUUAGAAAGAUAUUCAUUGAAGCUGAAAAUAAUUGGAGAUUUAGAUCCAUAUACAAUUCAGUCAUCAGAAUUGGAUUUUACAGUGCAUUCCAUCAAUUACUGUUAUAAUGCUAUUAUAGAUAGACUGGUAUUAGAGUCUCACAGUUACUACUUUAAGCAGCAAAUGAAAGCAUACAAAAGCCUUCAGACACAUAAAAGCCUUCACAACUGGAUUUGUUUUGAAACAUUUGAUGUUUUGAUGAUUUCUAUAUUAUUGUUGGAAAGGUGAAGAAUUCCCAAAAAGCUAAUGCUAAACCACUAGAUGCUUGGGUGAUAGCCAGUUCCAAUGGCAUAGCAAAUGCACAUUGUUUGUGUAUUGCCGGUAAUAGUGAAGUUUGCAGCCAUAUUGCAGCAAUCUUAUUUGCAGCUGAGUAUGCCCACAGCAAGACAGAAGAAGAAGAACCCAGUGCAUGUACAGAUGUUACAGCUAUGUAUAUUCUCUGGUGAAAAACUAAUGAGUUUUCAAGCUGUUCGGUCAGAGUGCUUGUUGCGCUCUCUCAACGAAUUGAAAUAUAAGACGGCUUUGGCUUCAUGUUGCAGCGAUAUGAAAAUGGUGUCUGUGGAUCUUUUUGUAUGCAAAAAUUUGUAAUAAUUAUUUGAAAUCAUUUUGAGGAUUAUAAGAGUAUGGAAAUAUAUGUGAGAGCACAGACUAUUAUAGUUUUGUCCUAUUUUGUAUCAUUCAAUCGUCUUCUUUAAAAUUUAUAAAUAUAAAGCAGAUAGUUUUCAUUGAAAUUCAAUAUAUUGGGUCUUAUUUGUAUGUAUUCAUUUUUGACUAAAGGUACGAUUCCGAUAACGACUGCAGACAGCAACUGCAAACAUCAGUUGCAGUUCUCGGCGUUAUGGACGUUACUAUUUUGCACUAUUUAUCUGUAUGAGACUGAUUCCGACAUCUGACUGCAACUGCUGUCUGGCAGAACAUCAGUUGCUAAUAAUUAUGCAAAUUAUUAGUGCAAAAUAAUGACGUCUGUCAUGGUGACAACUGUAAUUGCCAUCUGCAGUCGUUGUCGGAAUCGUACCUUUAAAGUGUGUGGUAUAAUUAUAAUAAUUAUAUAUAUUAUAUAACUUAAAUGGUUUAAACUUAAGUUUGUUAUUACAUUGUGACUUAAAUGUUUAAUUUGUUAAUAAAUUAUUUAUUAGUUUA
RNAcentral lists this long non-coding RNA (1673 nucleotides) under Diabrotica virgifera virgifera (western corn rootworm). RNAcentral's name for it is "uncharacterized LOC126884599". Lineage: Eukaryota; Metazoa; Arthropoda; Insecta; Coleoptera; Chrysomelidae. The record is from RNAcentral.